RNAcentral lists this ribosomal RNA (636 nucleotides) under Lygomusotima sp. Mandai Rd 5. RNAcentral's name for it is "SSU rRNA". It matches the Rfam family "Eukaryotic small subunit ribosomal RNA", at positions 1177 to 1810 of the family's 1831-position model. The record is from RNAcentral. Lineage: Eukaryota; Metazoa; Arthropoda; Insecta; Lepidoptera; Crambidae.
UGGAGCCUGCGGCUUAAUUUGACUCAACACGGGAAAUCUCACCAGGCCCGGACACCGGAAGGAUUGACAGAUUAAGAGCUCUUUCUUGAUUCGGUGGGUGGUGGUGCAUGGCCGUUCUUAGUUGGUGGAGCGAUUUGUCUGGUUAAUUCCGGUAACGAACGAGACUCUAGCCUGCUAAAUAGGCGUCGCAAUUUAGGUGUGCGCUGUCGCAACUCACUGGCGACGUAUUAAUUAUCUUCUUAGAGGGACCGGCGGCUUCGAGCCGCACGAGAUUGAGCAAUAACAGGUCUGUGAUGCCCUUAGAUGUCCUGGGCCGCACGCGCGCUACACUGAAGGAAUCAACAUGUUCUCCCUGGCCUAGAGGCCCGGGCAACCGUUUGAAACUCCUUCGUGCUGGGGAUUGGGGUUUGCAAUUAUCCCCCAUAAACGAGGAAUUCCUAGUAAGCGCGAGUCAUAAGCUCGCGUUGAUUACGUCCCUGCCCUUUGUACACACCGCCCGUCGCUACUACCGAUUGAAUGAUUUAGUGAGGUCUUCGGACCGACACGCGGUGGCUUAACGGCCGUCGGCGUCGCUGGGAAGUUGACCAAACUUGAUCAUUUAGAGGAAGUAAAAGUCGUAACAAGGUUUCCGUAGGU